GGCAGUGGUGGCUCAGUGGUUAAGGCUCUGGGUUACUGAUCAGAAGGUCGGGGUUCAAGCACCUGCAAUGCCA
Pangasianodon gigas (Mekong giant catfish) is the source of this 73-nucleotide non-coding RNA. Lineage: Eukaryota; Metazoa; Chordata; Actinopteri; Siluriformes; Pangasiidae. The record is from the annotation of a GenBank genome assembly.